GCUGUGAUCAAAAACCUUCACUCACAUUGUCGUCCUUCGGGGCACUGAACUCCUCAGUCGAAGUAAUAUUUAUAUUUUUGAAAACAUUGAUUCAAUAAUCAGUCCGCUCUUUGCUGUUCCAGGACGGAGAUGCUGUCAUGUGCCAGGGAGGUCAAUCGCUUCAGCAGCUGAUUUUCAACUUGUACACGUACCUACACAUGGUUCAGUUGAAAGGAUAUGUCAUGCUCCAAUUUUCAUGGAUGUUGCUGCGGCUUUAUGGCAAAGGAAAUUUCGUUACGGAGUCCAUGAAUGAAAAAAACAAAUUCUACAAGCGUUUUGACAAGCAGAUGGAAAUGGCUCGUCAAGUAUUAGAGACAACAAGCAAUGAAAAGAGAAGAUGUGAUCCGCCCAAAAAAAUCGAGGGAGAAACCUAUGCUCAAAUUACAAGACUUCUGCAGGGAUACAUUCAAAAUGAAGUCGACAUGAAACGGAGACGAGUCUUGCUCUGAAAAUUGCGCCUAUUAUUCGUAUGCCAAACAGCAUGGUUGCUUCAAGAACGGAUUCUGUGCUAGACAACCCUCUUGCACAGGUCGAAUUCUAAAUUGUCAGUUCGUUGAUGCUGACAUGGGUGUAUGCUUAUCAGACAUUGGAAGCACAAGACGGUACAAUUGGAUUCAGUACGAAAAUGGUCGAACUUGGGCAAGCGUGGUACUUGCAGCAAGUACAAUGUUGUGGAUAGUUGGUGGAGAUGCUUGUUCUCCAUUGCUCCUACUGCUUUUGUCUCUGUGAUGAGCCAGGCCGCCACUCUGAUCGCUACUUCAGUCUUCGGCCCUCUUCCUCAAAACACCACAUUUAAUAAAGUCGUUACCGGUGUGCGUUUUGCAAAGCGGAAUCGCAUGAUCCAUCUCCAGAUCCAAGAAGGAGAGCUUCUUCUCAUGGUGGCAUCAAUCAAAACUCCGUCUCAUGGCGACCAGUCCCUGAUUUCAGAAUCGAUGACCCUGAUGUCAAAGAGGGAGUCGAUUACCACACACUAUCCUGGGAGUCACGAGUCUUGAUCUAGACGAUGUGAAAUUACCUCCUAAAUGCCUUCUGACAGGUAUAAACUUUGUAUGCAAGCUUACCAGUUUAUGGAAUAAAUGUGGAUAUUUUAAAUGGGAAAAGUGCUGAUUUUUCAGGACGAUGUAGCAACAAAGACAAGGUUGCCAGGUUGUGGAAUAUAAAGUGGGUAUCUUACAUGGGUUUAAAUGGAGAGAGGUGCUGAUAUUCAGCAUAAACUGGCAACAAUGCCUUGACAAACACCAAAGUAAAAUUUAAAUAUCAAUACUUAGACGAGUGAAUUACAAAAAUUCCUGCACAAAAAUUAACUGAGAAUGUCAAAUGCAAAUGGAAGUUUGACAACCUGAAGUUAGGAGUUCUAAAGCAAUCCGCAGUUUCAACCUCAAAAUGAUUUCAUUUAAAUGCAUUUUUAUGAUCUUGCAUGAUACCGUCAUGAACUAAACUGCUUGCAACUUGCAGUGGAAAUUGCAUAUUACGAUACCAUCCAUAACGAUAUAUCAGUCAUAAUGACGUGCAAUCUGGUUGGUCCCGUGGCUUAUAUCCCAUUGAUUCAAUGUAUUCAUGCAUCAUUCAUAACAACAAUCGAAAUAACGACAAAAUUAGACCGAUCCCUUGAAGGUUGAUGUCCUUGUCCUAUCCCUACAUUUGGUUAAAUAUUUGAGUGUUCUCUGUCAAAAAUUCAAAUUUAGAUUUUUCGGCUAAACUUGACAAAGUCUCACUCCAGAAUUAUUUAGUUUAGUUUUUCCAACAGUUUCUCUUUUUCUAGGAAAAUUCAUACAUCAUUGACCAAAGAAGCAAUAAACAGAGAAAAGAUAAAAACAGAAAUUAUCAGACAGUUUUUUUUUGACUUGGAAAAAAUAAAAAAGAAGAAAGAUCAUGGAAUAAUUCAUUAGAUUUUCUUUUCUGUCAAGGGAAUAAACAGCAAUGGGAAUAAAAAG
This 1973-nucleotide long non-coding RNA is filed under the name Bemisia tabaci. RNAcentral describes it as "lncRNA ENSSSA1NGG005450". Lineage: Eukaryota; Metazoa; Arthropoda; Insecta; Hemiptera; Aleyrodidae. The record is from RNAcentral.